Non-coding RNA from Micropterus salmoides (largemouth bass), 534 nucleotides. The record is from the annotation of a RefSeq genome assembly. Lineage: Eukaryota; Metazoa; Chordata; Actinopteri; Centrarchiformes; Centrarchidae.
UCUGUCAGUCAACACGGCAGAAACCACAACCACCAUGACUCUCAUCACCAUCCUCAUCUGGACGCUGGCGUGCUGCUGUUUUACAGGAUGCAGCAGUCAGGUGUCUGUGACUCAGCCUCAAGUAAAGACAUCUACUCCAGGAUCCACUGUCACUCUCACCUGUAAAACCAACCAAGCUGUUUACAGCUCGGGUGGUUGUGAGCGUCUAAGCUGGUAUCAACAGAAAUCUGGACAGCCUCCAAAGCUCCUUAUUAAAUGUGUGAACACACGUGAAUCAGGAACACCAGCUCGGUUUAGUGGCAGUGGAAGCAGCUCUGACUUCACUUUGACCAUCAGUGGAGUUCAGACUGAAGAUGCAGCAGUUUAUCACUGUCAGAGUUACCACAGUGGUGGAGUGUUCACACAGUGAUGUGCAGUUGUACAAAAACCUCCCUCAGUCAGACUGCAGAGACACUGAGCUGUUACAGCAGGAACCGACUGCAGCUGCUGAAGAGGAAGAGACACAGACCACUGAACACAGAGCUGACAUUAACC